RNAcentral lists this ribosomal RNA (519 nucleotides) under uncultured eukaryote. Its description in RNAcentral is "SSU rRNA". It matches the Rfam family "Eukaryotic small subunit ribosomal RNA", at positions 1161 to 1705 of the family's 1831-position model. The record is from RNAcentral.
AGGGCACCACCAGGAGUGGAGCCUGCGGCUUAAUUUGACUCAACACGGGGAAACUCACCCGGCCCGGACACCGUAAGGAUUGACAGAUUGAUAGCUUUUUCAUGAUUCGGUGGGUGGUGGUGCAUGGCCGUUCUUAGUUCGUGGAGCGAUUUGUCUGGUUUAUUCCGAUAACGAGCGAGACUCUAGCCUACUAAAUAGUUCGCACAUUGUCUCUGUGUGUGUGACUUCUUAGAGGGAUUUUCGGUGUUCAGCCGCACGAAAUUGAGCAAUAACAGGUCUGUGAUGCCCUUAGAUGUCCGGGGCUGCACGCGCGCUACACUGGCAAAAUCAGCGUGCUUGUCCUUCCCCGAAAGGGGUUGGUAAACCCUUGAAAAUUUGCCGUGAUUGGGAUUGGAAAUUGCAAUUAUUUUCCAUGAACGAGGAAUUCCAAGUAAGUGCGAGUCAUCAGCCCGCGUUGAUUACGUCCCCGCCCUUUGUACACACCGCCCGUCGCUGCCUGGGACUGAGCCAUUUCGAGAA